AAGUCGUAACAAGGUUUCCGUAGGUGAACCUGCGGAAGGAUCAUUACUGAGUAUUUGGGCUGAAAAGUCCGGUUCUCCACACUUUUGUUUUAAGCGAUUGGGGGAAAUCAUCAUCCUCUUCUCGCGACAACACUUUUAUUCUAUGAAUAAAUCAAAACUUUCAACAACGGAUCUCUUGGUUCUG
This 184-nucleotide unclassified non-coding RNA is filed under the name fungal sp. RNAcentral's name for it is "partial internal transcribed spacer region". The stretch from base 1 to 46 matches the Rfam family "Eukaryotic small subunit ribosomal RNA", at positions 1786 to 1831 of the family's 1831-position model. Lineage: Eukaryota; Fungi. The record is from RNAcentral.